AAGUCGUAACAAGGUUUCCGUAGGUGAACCUGCGGAAGGAUCAUUAAUACGCUUUUGUUUGUAACAAAACAAAACGUUUUAAACUCCAAAAGAAAUAGUGGAAACAUAACUUCCGGAUGCGAAUGUUGGGGAACUGAGUCCAAUCGGUUCUUUGAAAAAGGGACUUCAAGCAAUUGACACUUCAGAGUAGAGCAGUGAGGUGAAAUUCUCUUUACUGAGAGUUUGGUUCUGAAAAACAUUUGUAUCCGGUUUCAUAAUCUGUUCUACGAACUCCAAAAUAUCAAACAAUAAACCCCAUGUACAACAACUUGAACUAAACAUUUUUUUGUUAUCGGCUUGCACUUGUGUGAGAAGAUACUACAAAGAAAAAACCUGAACUUAAGAACAACUCUUAACAACGGAUAUCUUGGUUCUC
This 415-nucleotide unclassified non-coding RNA is filed under the name fungal sp. RNAcentral's name for it is "partial internal transcribed spacer region". The stretch from base 1 to 46 matches the Rfam family "Eukaryotic small subunit ribosomal RNA", at positions 1786 to 1831 of the family's 1831-position model. Lineage: Eukaryota; Fungi. The record is from RNAcentral.